Molecule: ribosomal RNA, 518 nt
Filed under: uncultured Ambispora
Lineage: Eukaryota; Fungi; Glomeromycota; Glomeromycetes; Archaeosporales; Ambisporaceae
Description: SSU rRNA
Rfam family: Eukaryotic small subunit ribosomal RNA
Source: RNAcentral
AGCAGCCGCGGUAAUUCCAGCUCCAAUAGCGUAUAUUAAAGUUGUUGCAGUUAAAAAGCUCGUAGUUGAAUUUUGGGUCUGGCCGGGCGGUCCGCCCUCCGGGUGAGCACUGUUCCGACGCCGGGCCUAUCCUUCUGGUGAGUCGGCAUGUCCUUUACUGGGUGUGUCGGGGAACCAGGACCAUUACCUUGAAAAAUUAGAGUGUUCAAAGCAGGCGUAUGCUCGGAUACAUUAGCAUGGAAUAAUGAAAUAGGACGCGUGGUGCUAUUUUGUUGGUUUCUAGAACCACCGUAAUGAUUAAUAGGGAUAGUUGGGGGCAUUAGUAUUCAAUUGUCAGAGGUGAAAUUCUUGGAUUUAUUGAAGACUAACUUCUGCGAAAGCAUUUGCCAAGGAUGUUUUCAUUAAUCAAGAACGAAAGUUAGGGGAUCGAAGACGAUCAGAUACCGUCGUAGUCUUAACCAUAAACUAUGCCGACUAGGAAUCGGGCGAUGUUAUUCUCAUGACUCGCCCGGCGCCUU